UGCGGAGCAGGGUAUGAGUCAUCAAACUCAUAACCUGAAGGUCGCAGGUUCAAAUCCUGCCCCCGCAACCA
Molecule: transfer RNA, 71 nt
Filed under: Hyphomonas atlantica
Lineage: Bacteria; Pseudomonadati; Pseudomonadota; Alphaproteobacteria; Hyphomonadales; Hyphomonadaceae
Also listed under: 2 other names
Description: corrig. tRNA-Met
Rfam family: tRNA
About the family: Transfer RNA (tRNA) molecules are approximately 80 nucleotides in length. Their secondary structure includes four short double-helical elements and three loops (D, anti-codon, and T loops).
Source: RNAcentral